Molecule: long non-coding RNA, 639 nt
Organism: Nicotiana attenuata
Lineage: Eukaryota; Viridiplantae; Streptophyta; Magnoliopsida; Solanales; Solanaceae
Exons: 2
Source: RefSeq, a predicted model, not a curated record
UAUUUUUCAUACUUCAUCACAAAUUCUCUUUCAUUUUCUUGCAUUCCUCCCAGCUGAUGUGGUGCUAAAAAUUAGGGCUUAUCUUUACAAAAUUAUCAAUUCGCAUACGUUGCUGCUUUACCGGUUGUUCAUCAUUUGCACAAAUGAAUAUAAAAGGGGGAUUAACAGAUGAAAUUCGAAUCUCGAAGAUUUGAAGGCAAAGGCUUCCUUGGUAUCUUUUCUAAGCUCUACUGCACAUGCAUCAAAGCAUUUUCAUUAAUGUGCUUUGGUAUUUCAGUAAGAAAUAAAUUUACUUGAAUCAAAAUUUCUUCCUUCAUGUGCUUUAUUUUAUUCCACUAAGAAACCUACAAAUGGAAUGUUGGUUGUUAGUGGGUCUUUCAAGCAUUAAGGUAACACUCUUUAAAUGGAAAAUUUGUCUUUCGUAUAAAUCUUGCUAUGCAAAAAUUUUAAAUUUGAAUUAUCCAUGUUGAAUUUCUUCUUUUCCAAAUUGGCAAGUGAAAUCAGUGCAAGGUCUAAUCUAUAACAUUACUGUUCACUUUUACAUUCCAGAUGAGAAUAUUAUGGGUGUCAAUGAUCGAGGUGAGAGUUCAACCAACGUACAAGUCAAUGUUCAGAUAUGAAAUUUUUUAUUUAAUAUCA